AUUGAACGCUGGCGGCAUGCUUUACACAUGCAAGUCGAACGGCAGCGCGGGCUUCGGCCUGGCGGCGAGUGGCGAACGGGUGAGUAAUACAUCGGAACGUGCCCAGUAGGGGGGGAUAGCUCGGCGAAAGCCGGAUUAAUACCGCAUACGACCUGAGGGUGAAAGCGGGGGAGCUUCGGACAUCGCGCUAUUGGAGCGGCCGAUGGCAGAUUAGCUAGUUGGUGGGGUAAAGGCCUACCAAGGAGACGAUCUGUAGCUGGUCUGAGAGGACGACCAGCCACACUGGGACUGAGACACGGCCCAGACUCCUACGGGAGGCAGCAGUGGGGAAUUUUGGACAAUGGGCGAAAGCCUGAUCCAGCAAUGCCGCGUGUGUGAUGAAGGCCUUCGGGUUGUAAAGCACUUUUGGCGGGAACGAAAAGGACUGUGCCAAUACCACGGUUCGAUGACGGUACCCGCAGAAUAAGCACCGGCUAACUACGUG
RNAcentral lists this ribosomal RNA (484 nucleotides) under uncultured bacterium. RNAcentral's name for it is "partial 16S ribosomal RNA". It matches the Rfam family "Bacterial small subunit ribosomal RNA", at positions 29 to 507 of the family's 1533-position model. The record is from RNAcentral.